UACGGGAGGCAGCAGUGGGGAAUUUUCCGCAAUGGGCGAAAGCCUGACGGAGCAAUACCGCGUGAGGGAGGAAGGCUCUUGGGUCGUAAACCUCUUUUCUCAAGGAAGAUAAUGACGGUACUUGAGGAAUAAGCAUCGGCUAACUCC
This 147-nucleotide ribosomal RNA is filed under the name uncultured bacterium. RNAcentral's name for it is "partial 16S ribosomal RNA". It matches the Rfam family "Bacterial small subunit ribosomal RNA", at positions 340 to 504 of the family's 1533-position model. The record is from RNAcentral.